Molecule: long non-coding RNA, 313 nt
Organism: Alosa alosa (allis shad)
Lineage: Eukaryota; Metazoa; Chordata; Actinopteri; Clupeiformes; Clupeidae
Exons: 2
Source: RefSeq, a predicted model, not a curated record
GCUCUGGCAUGUGCUAUGAAAGAGUAGACCUACCGACAUACUUCAGCUGAAACGAAAUGGCCUCCGACCACCAGACGAGCGAGCCCCGACGCGUCACCACCCUCAGCCCGAGACGCCGCUCGCUCACUGGGGGACACACACACUCAGCACCUUGGACUGGGACCCCCCGGAGACUUGGAAAACCCCAGAGCCCCGAGAACCCCUGGAACCCCUGACACCCCUGGCACCCCUGGAACCGGAACCUCCAAGACCUCACGUUUUUCUCACUCCUCUUCCCCCCUGAACCCUUCAAUAAAAAGACUCUGAAUUUGAA